This 214-nucleotide ribosomal RNA is filed under the name uncultured Legionella sp. RNAcentral's name for it is "partial 16S ribosomal RNA". It matches the Rfam family "Bacterial small subunit ribosomal RNA", at positions 1149 to 1362 of the family's 1533-position model. The record is from RNAcentral. Lineage: Bacteria; Pseudomonadati; Pseudomonadota; Gammaproteobacteria; Legionellales; Legionellaceae.
CUGCCGGUGACAAACCGGAGGAAGGCGGGGAUGACGUCAAGUCAUCAUGGCCCUUACGGGUAGGGCUACACACGUGCUACAAUGGCAGAUACAGAGGGAUGCGAAGGGGUGACCUGGAGCGAAUCUUAUAAAGUCUGUCGUAGUCCGGAUUGGAGUCUGCAACUCGACUCCAUGAAGUCGGAAUCGCUAGUAAUCGCGAAUCAGCAUGUCGCGG